GUCCCUGUUAUGUAAUGGAUAGCGCGUUGGACUUCUAAUCCAAAGGUUGUGGAUUCCAAUCCCACCUGGGAUA
This is a non-coding RNA of Trichonephila clavata, 73 nucleotides long. NCBI's taxonomy places the organism in Eukaryota, Metazoa, Arthropoda, Arachnida, Araneae, Nephilidae. The record is from the annotation of a GenBank genome assembly.